GGUCUGCUUCAGCCCAAGAGGAAUCAAAAGAUCAAAAGCAGUUUGGGAAGGCCAGAACCGUCAAGGGAUGGAGGGAGAAGGAAAAUCCAGGGGGUGGGGGGAAGGGGGCAGCCUGCAACCCCCAAGGGCAGGUGUGGGGCUGCCAGAUGCUCCAGGCAGGGGGCCAGAAGGGGCUCACAAAGGCUUGCCCUCCAGGGAGAUGACGGCACUGCCCCCCAGCUUCUCUGCCAGGGUGCAGCGGUCCUUGACCUCCUCGUAGCAGUUUGCUUGCAAUUCAUGCUUGA
RNAcentral lists this long non-coding RNA (284 nucleotides) under Homo sapiens (human). Its description in RNAcentral is "HSALNT0176941". The record is from RNAcentral. Lineage: Eukaryota; Metazoa; Chordata; Mammalia; Primates; Hominidae.